AUAAAAAUCUACGCUGACCAUACCUUAGAUCAAGUGUAGUCUUUACUUAUCAGUUUAAUAUCUGAUAUCGGCUCACACGAUAUUAAAUUAGUUUUUUUUUUUAUGGGGGAGUUCCCACCACAACAGCAAGCUGCUGGGGUUCUCAUGCAUCGCCUCUGUGUUGCACUACUGCAGAGGCCUGGCGCACCCCCA
Small nuclear RNA from Papaver somniferum (opium poppy), 192 nucleotides. RefSeq annotates it as U2 spliceosomal RNA. The record is from RefSeq and is a predicted model, not a curated record. NCBI's taxonomy places the organism in Eukaryota, Viridiplantae, Streptophyta, Magnoliopsida, Ranunculales, Papaveraceae. The transcript has a single exon.